RNAcentral lists this long non-coding RNA (498 nucleotides) under Anas platyrhynchos platyrhynchos (common mallard). RNAcentral describes it as "lncRNA (ENSAPLG00000021463.1)". Lineage: Eukaryota; Metazoa; Chordata; Aves; Anseriformes; Anatidae. The record is from RNAcentral.
AUGUUUUUUCCCCUUUGCAAUAUGGGUUGUGAAAUGAAGACUUCUGCAACAGAGAGGAAAUCCGUGUGGGCCAGCAGUAAGGGCAACAAAACCCACAGCCAUGCCAGUUCCCAGUCAUCCUCAGGAUUUCAUGAACUUCAUCCAGAACAAAGCAGGAGAGUCCCCUGGGCAGUGCAAACAGUGCUCUCGUUGGCUGUUAGUACAGAGGCAAUUUCAGUCCCAUCAUCUCUGAAAGACUGGGCUUCUCUGGUGUCCGUGGGAGCAGAGGUCCCACUCCAGAGGAAGAAGAAGUACUUGGGACUGUGUGGGGAUGAGAAUACAUCUGACAAGCAGGCUCUGGGCCAUGUAGCAAGACAGAGUAUGGGGCUUGUUCCCCUUUAUUUUCUUUCAUAACCACCCAGGAGAAAUAUCUGUUAUUUUUUUUCAGGGGAUUAAUAUCUGAAAUGGGUUAAUUCUACAGUACAUGCCCUGCCUAUGAAGCAUAAUAGGAAAUCCUCC